Molecule: unclassified non-coding RNA, 147 nt
Filed under: soil metagenome
Description: partial internal transcribed spacer 1
Source: RNAcentral
CCGAGUUUACAACUCCCAAACCCCUGUGAACAUACCACUUGUUGCCUCGGCGGAUCAGCCCGCUCCCGGUAACACGGGACGGCCCGCCAGAGGACCCCUAAACUCUGUUUCUAUAUGUAACUUCUGAGUAAAACCAUAAAUAAAUCA